RNAcentral lists this ribosomal RNA (506 nucleotides) under uncultured bacterium. RNAcentral describes it as "partial 16S ribosomal RNA". It matches the Rfam family "Bacterial small subunit ribosomal RNA", at positions 29 to 523 of the family's 1533-position model. The record is from RNAcentral.
AGUGAACACUGGCGGUAGGCCUAACACAUGCAAGUCGAACGGCAGCACAGGAGAGCUUGCUCUCUGGGUGGCGAGUGGCGGACGGGUGAGGAAUACAUCGGAAUCUACUCUGUCGUGGGGGAUAACGUAGGGAAACUUACGCUAAUACCGCAUACGACCUACGGGUGAAAGCAGGGGACCUUCGGGCCUUGCGCGAUUGAAUGAGCCGAUGUCGGAUUAGCUAGUUGGCGGGGUAAAGGCCCCCCAAGGCGACGAUCCGUAGCUGGUCUGGGAGGAUGAUCAGCCACACUGGAACUGAGACACGGUCCAGACUCCUACGGGAGGCAGCAGUGGGGAAUAUUGGACAAUGGGCGCAAGCCUGAUCCAGCCAUACCGCGUGGGUGAAGAAGGCCUUCGGGUUGUAAAGCCCUUUUGUUGGGAAAGAAAUCCAGCUGGCUAAUACCCGGUUGGGAUGACGGUACCCAAAGAAUAAGCACCGGCUAACUUCGUGCCAGCCGCCGCCGUAA